AUGGCUGUGUCAGGCACACUGCAGCGUGGCUGCAUCCACAGUCUGUGCUGGGUGUGUGUGGCAGUUUGUGACCAGGAUGUGUCUGUGUUUGCAGGUGUCCAGUGUGAGGUGCAGCUGGUGGAGUCUGGGGGAGGCUUGGUCCAGCCUGGGGGGUCCCUGAGACUCUCCUGUGCAGCCUCUGGAUUCACCUUCAGCAGCUAUGGGAUGCACUGGGUCCGCCAGGCUCCAGGGAAGGGGCUGGAGUGGGUUGCAUAUAUAAGGAGUGAUGGAAGUAACCAAUACUAUGCCGACGCCGUGAAGGGCCGAUUCACCAUCUCCAGAGACAACGGCAAGAACACGCUGUCUCUGCAAAUGAACAGUCUGAGAGCCGAGGACACGGCCCUGUACUACUGUGCAAGAGACACAGUGAUCUCUGAGUUAGAUAUGUUUGUGCACACGGUGAACCGCACGCCGCUGUUCACCUCAGCUGGGGCUCCUGACUAG
This is a non-coding RNA of Lemur catta (Ring-tailed lemur), 483 nucleotides long. The record is from the annotation of a RefSeq genome assembly. NCBI's taxonomy places the organism in Eukaryota, Metazoa, Chordata, Mammalia, Primates, Lemuridae.